RNAcentral lists this ribosomal RNA (254 nucleotides) under uncultured bacterium. RNAcentral's name for it is "partial 16S ribosomal RNA". It matches the Rfam family "Bacterial small subunit ribosomal RNA", at positions 524 to 776 of the family's 1533-position model. The record is from RNAcentral.
CACGUAGGGUGCGAGCGUUGUCCGGAAUUAUUGGGCGUAAAGAGCUCGUAGGCGGUGUGUCGCGUCGGCCGUGAAAACUUGCAGCUUAACUGUGAGCUUGCGGUCGAUACGGGCAUCACUAGAGUUCGGCAGGGGAGACUGGAAUUCCUGGUGUAGCGGUGAAAUGCGCAGAUAUCAGGAGGAACACCGGUGGCGAAGGCGGGUCUCUGGGCCGAUACUGACGCUGAGGAGCGAAAGCGUGGGGAGCGAACAGG